UUUGAAUUUACGAACUAAGUGAAAAGGCUUAGGAAAGAUAAAAGACGAGAAGACCCUAAGAGUUUAGAGUAUAUUUUGUUGGGGCGACAAAAGGUCAGAAUAACACCUUUAUUUUUGAUAAGACGGAUUUUUCAUGUCUAGAUAAACUACCUUAGGGAUAACAGCAUAAUCUUUUUAGGUUUGUGACCUCGAUGUUGGACUAGGAAGCCCUUAGGCUAGCUGCUUAAGAAGGGGAUUCUGUUCGAAUUUUUACUCCUACGUGAUCU
Molecule: ribosomal RNA, 266 nt
Filed under: Atys semistriata
Lineage: Eukaryota; Metazoa; Mollusca; Gastropoda; Cephalaspidea; Haminoeidae
Description: partial 16S ribosomal RNA
Source: RNAcentral